GUGCCAGCAGCCGCGGUAAGACGAACUGUGCGAACGUUGUUCGGAAUCACUGGGCUUAAAGGGUGCGUAGGCGGCCCGUUAAGUCGGGGGUGAAAUACUUCGGCUCAACCGGAGAAUUGCCUUCGAUACUGGCGGGCUGGAGGAAGGUAGGGGUCGCGGGAACUGCCAGUGGAGCGGUGAAAUGCGUUGAUAUUGGCAGGAACGCCGGUGGUGAAGACGCGCGGCUGGACCUUUUCUGACGCUGAUGCACGAAAGCCAGGGGAGCAAACGGGAUUAGAAACCCCAGUAGUCC
RNAcentral lists this ribosomal RNA (292 nucleotides) under uncultured bacterium. Its description in RNAcentral is "partial 16S ribosomal RNA". It matches the Rfam family "Bacterial small subunit ribosomal RNA", at positions 505 to 796 of the family's 1533-position model. The record is from RNAcentral.